This 466-nucleotide ribosomal RNA is filed under the name uncultured bacterium. RNAcentral's name for it is "partial 16S ribosomal RNA". It matches the Rfam family "Bacterial small subunit ribosomal RNA", at positions 28 to 507 of the family's 1533-position model. The record is from RNAcentral.
GACGAACGCUGGCGGCGUGCUUAACACAUGCAAGUCGAGCGGUAAGGCCCUUUCGGGGGUACACGCGCGGCGAACGAGCGGGUAACACGUACGCAACCUGCCCUUCACUUUCGGUUAACUGACGGCAACGGAGGCGAAUACCUGCCGUGUAUGACCUACUCAUGCGUGGUGGGGGAAGGCAUUUCGGGGGGUGGGGGUAGGCUCGCGGCUUAUCUGCUUUUUGGUGGGGGGAUGGCCUACCAAGGCUUUGGCGGGUAGCCGGCCUGAGAGGGGGACCGGCCACAUUGGGACUGAGAUACGGCCCAGACUCCUACGGGAGGCAGCAGUGGGGAAUAUUGCACAAUGGGCGGAAGCCUGAUGCAGCAACGCCGCGUGCGGGAUGACGGCCUUCGGGUUGUAAACCGCUUUCGCCUGUGACGAAGCGGGAGUGACGGUAAUGGGUAAAGAAGCACCGGCUAACUACGUG